CUACGGGGGGCACCAGUGGGGAAUAUUGCACAAUGGGGGAAACCCUGAUGCAGCAACGCCGCGUGGAGGAUGACACAUUUCGGUGCGUAAACUCCUUUUAUAGGUCAAGAUAAUGACGGUAGCCUAUGAAUAAGCGCCGGCUAACUCCGUGCCAGCAGCCGCGGUAAUACGGAGGGCGCAAGCGUUACUCGGAAUCACUGGGCGUAAAGAGCAUGUAGGCGGGUUAAUAAGUCAGAAGUGAAAUCCAAUAGCUCAACUAUUGAACUGCUUUUGAAACUGUUAACCUAGAGUGUGGGAGAGGUAGAUGGAAUUUCUGGUGUAGGGGUAAUAUCCGUAGAGAUCAGAAGGAAUACCGAUUGCGAAGGCGAUCUACUGGAACAUUACUGACGCUGAGAUGCGAAAGCGUGGGGAGCAAACAGGAUUAGAUACCCGUGUAGUC
This 439-nucleotide ribosomal RNA is filed under the name uncultured bacterium. Its description in RNAcentral is "partial 16S ribosomal RNA". It matches the Rfam family "Bacterial small subunit ribosomal RNA", at positions 339 to 795 of the family's 1533-position model. The record is from RNAcentral.